AACGAACGCUGGCGGCAGGCUUAACACAUGCAAGUCGAGCGGGCGUAGCAAUACGUCAGCGGCAGACGGGUGAGUAACGCGUGGGAACGUACCUUUUGGUUCGGAACAACACAGGGAAACUUGUGCUAAUACCGGAUAAGCCCUUACGGGGAAAGAUUUAUCGCCGAAAGAUCGGCCCGCGUCUGAUUAGCUAGUUGGUGAGGUAACGGCUCACCAAGGCGACGAUCAGUAGCUGGUCUGAGAGGAUGAUCAGCCACAUUGGGACUGAGACACGGCCCAGACUCCUACGGGAGGCAGCAGUGGGGAAUAUUGGACAAUGGGGGCAACCCUGAUCCAGCCAUGCCGCGUGAGUGAUGAAGGCCCUAGGGUUGUAAAGCUCUUUUGUGCGGGAAGAUAAUGACGGUACCGCAAGAAUAAGCCCCGGCUAACUUCGUG
RNAcentral lists this ribosomal RNA (435 nucleotides) under uncultured bacterium. RNAcentral describes it as "bacterial SSU rRNA". It matches the Rfam family "Bacterial small subunit ribosomal RNA", at positions 29 to 507 of the family's 1533-position model. The record is from RNAcentral.